This 2345-nucleotide long non-coding RNA is filed under the name Physcomitrium patens. Its description in RNAcentral is "long non-coding RNA (PPAT_LNC013430)". Lineage: Eukaryota; Viridiplantae; Streptophyta; Bryopsida; Funariales; Funariaceae. The record is from RNAcentral.
GCCUUCUCGGAGGUGGACCUCGACGCCGACCUUGUGCGCUCAGAUUUUAGCCACAGCGCAGUUCAUGUGCGGGUUGUGCUUGUUGCGCGUGACCAGCAAUGCGAACGCCGUGUGGAUAGGAUUCUUACUCAGAGUGGGUCCAGCUAUUUUUCCUCGGCGCCAGAAGGCUGCAGCCUGUCCGGAGCCGAGCUGACGACGAGGGGAAGUGACCAUCGUGGUUGCAAGGAUCGGUGUGUGUGCCGGAGCAUCGAAAACGACGCAUGAUCGUAUCCUUAGCCUGGUUUUGAAGCGUAGCUCCCCGUUUGACUCGUGCCUGUGCUUGGAUGUGGACCGGCUCCCCCAGUCUCCCCAUGUUACAGCUCCUCGAAGCGUGACUCGUGAGUGUGCCACCAGACGAUUGGUAUGGUUUUGUCUUCGGGUUGGCGCGUCAGUUGGUCGCAAAGUCAAUGGGCGAGUGAGACGUCGGCAUCUGAUUGCGAGAACGGGGAUCGUGGAGAUACCCUCUGAUGGGUCACUUCAUGAUGGUUCAUUACAGGCGAUUCCAAUGCCAGGUCGCUUGUGUAGCAGUCUGAAGAUUCAUAGUAAGCUCGCCAAUUGGUUGUAAAAUAAUCGUGUUUGCUCUCCUGCUCUUCCAUUCUCUGAUAUGUCUUCUGUGCUCUAUCUCAACGUUAAAAUGCAAAAAAACUCCUUUUGGUAGGUUUGUAAUGCAGAGGAGUCGGUGCUUGCUCGUUUUGGUGAAGCUUUUUGAUGGUCCAUGAAUGCGACAGUAGCUCCUAAACCAUUGCCGUGUGGUCGAACUCCUAAAUCUAGGAUAAAUUUCGGUACAGGUGUGUUUAUUUUUUCAAAAUUACUCAACCUAAUGGUGCGCGGGUUUUGAGCUCACCGAUUAGGAGUGUUGACAGAAAGCAGCAGUCCGGGAGCUCCUUGGUAAUGAAUCACAUUGUGAGCUCCAUCCCUCCUGUGGAGGAUUUCGAUUACGAUGCGGUGCUCAAUACUCACGCACGGGGUGCAAAGAGAAGUUGGAUGUCAAGGUUGCGCUUGUGUGCGUGUAUGUGUUACUUCUCGGUGGUCUUUUCAAUCCUGGCCGCAGCGCUCUCGACACAAUUCGUCAGGUGAGACAGCAACUGCGAGGGCAGGAAUAGUUCCAUUUCGAGAGUUCACGUUGCAGAAAGAUGUCAAGCAGUUACGAAAGCCAAUGCACACGUAGAAUCUACAGUGCAAGGAAUCGCAACUAGGUCAAACAACCCUCAACGUCGACGAGGAACUAAGCAACGUCAGCGAGCUGGUCUUGUUUUCCUGUGAAAUCUUGUAACAUACCUGGUUACAUCUGGGAAAGAAGUAACUGUAGUGCAAAUAACCUGGUGCGAUUUGUCCAGCUUUGCUUAAACAUACUCCAAAAUCACAAGUCUAGGCUUGUAGCCAAAUCAUCCGAAGAAAAUGAACAUGUUCAAGCGGCGGGAAGAAGCUGCCAGGUGACAGAUCAGCUGGAAUCGCCUUUCAAUUCAAUCUUUUCCAUUGCAUAAGAAAUCAUGCUCAAGUUUCUACUUCCAUGAACUCGUAAUCCAAAUCUGUGAUCAAUUUUUUGUGUAAAAGUGAAUAAAAUGAGACAAUAUAACACACUGGGUCUAGCGCACUUAGACUAAAUACUAUUACACCUUCACCAUUACCUUCACCCUCAUGCUUUCAAUAGAGGAGAUGGCGGCUUAACAUUGUCCCUGAUGACAUCUUUCCAAGCUUUCUCAAGCAUAAUGAGGAAUUGCUUUAGGAUCCUGAAGUGUUUAAGAGGGUCGGAAUCAUUCUUUGCUGCUUCGUUACCGUAGAAAUAUCUGUUGGUGUCCCUCACUGCUUGCAGAGCUUCGCCAAGCUCCUCCUGAGCUGCUUCUACGUCUGCACCGGCAUCCUUGAUGAACUUCUCCAUUGUCUCUUGGAAAGUAUCCUUACUAAGAUCAAUAGAUCGUCUUCUUACGCUUGUUCCUGGUUCUGUUUUCGUAUACUUCCCUUCUCGAACUUGAGACUUGAUUUCCUGGAGGCCUUUGGCCAGGUCGUGAACCGAUUGCUGCAGCAAAUUCAAGUCGAAGCCGCCUGCCUCGCUUACUGCGGAUAGUUCCGCAGGCAACCCCAUGAUCAUUCCCAUACGCAUUCUUUCAGGCGCAUAUUGAUCGUCAUGCAUCUUCAUGGCUGCUUCCAUGCUUGCAGAGAAAUCAGAGGAGCGUGGAGAAUCCGCAGCCUUGAAGGAGACAUGCCCGUCCCCAUCGUUGCCAGACAAUCGAGCUAACCGAGCAAUUUCUGAUUUAUUAAUCUCUGCCACGACAAAAUGAAGCAGCGUUGUUUUGUUGUCGACUCCU